AGAGUUUGAUCCUGGCUCAGAUUGAACGCUGGCGGCGUGCUUAACACAUGCAAGUCGAACGAGAAAGGGACUUCGGUCCUGAGUAGAGUGGCGCACGGGUGAGUAACGCGUAGGUAAUCUACCUCUGCAUCUGGGAUAACACUUCGAAAGGGGUGCUAAUACCGGAUACACUUAUGUGUCGCAAGACGUAUAAGGAAAGGAGACCUCUCCUUGGAAGUUUCUGUGUAGAGAUGAGCCUGCGUCCCAUUAGCUAGUUGGUAGGGUAAAGGCCUACCAAGGCUACGAUGGGUAGCGGGUCUGAGAGGAUGAUCCGCCACACUGGAACUGAAACACGGACCAGACUCCUACGGGAGGCAGCAGUGAGGAAUAUUGGACAAUGGGCGAAAGCCUGAUCCAGCGACGCCGCGUGAGUGAUGAAGGCCUUUGGGUCGUAAAGCUCUGUCAGCAGGGAAGAACGGCCGUGCGGUUAAUACCCGUGCGGAUUGACGGUACCUGCAGAGGAAGCACCGGCUAACUCCGUGCCAGCAGCCCGGUAU
This 536-nucleotide ribosomal RNA is filed under the name uncultured bacterium. Its description in RNAcentral is "bacterial SSU rRNA". It matches the Rfam family "Bacterial small subunit ribosomal RNA", at positions 8 to 523 of the family's 1533-position model. The record is from RNAcentral.